CCUACGGGGGGCAGCAGUGGGGAAUAUUGGACAAUGGGGGGAACCCUGAUCCAGCCAUGCCGCGUGUGUGAAGAAGGCCCUCGGGUUGUAAAGCACUUUCAGUGAGGAAGAACGCCUGGUGGUUAAUACCCAUCAGGAAAGACAUCACUCACAGAAGAAGCACCGGCUAACUCCGUGCCAGCAGCCGCGGUAAUACGGAGGGUGCGAGCGUUAAUCGGAAUUACUGGGCGUAAAGCGCGCGUAGGUGGCUUGAUAAGCCGGUUGUGAAAGCCCCGGGCUCAACCUGGGAACGGCAUCCGGAACUGUCAAGCUAGAGUGCAGGAGAGGAAGGUAGAAUUCCCGGUGUAGCGGUGAAAUGCGUAGAGAUCGGGAGGAAUACCAGUGGCGAAGGCGGCCUUCUGGACUGACACUGACACUGAGGUGCGAAAGCGUGGGUAGCAAACAGGAUUAGAUACCCUAGUAGUC
Molecule: ribosomal RNA, 465 nt
Filed under: Vreelandella stevensii
Lineage: Bacteria; Pseudomonadati; Pseudomonadota; Gammaproteobacteria; Oceanospirillales; Halomonadaceae
Description: partial 16S ribosomal RNA
Rfam family: Bacterial small subunit ribosomal RNA
Source: RNAcentral